GCUACGGGACCCUGGCUUGGUCAUGAUUUAUCGAGGCGCGUUCUCACUCUAAGGAAAGAAUAGUUGUUCGAUUGUAGUUCCCCCUGGUGGCCAAAGGCAGAGCGCGGACUGUUGCUGAAAAGAAAGGAAGCGAUUACAGAGCCCUAGGUUUAUAGGACUUGUCCCAGGUUCUACAUCUGAGAAUAAUACUACUGGCUCGCUUUCUGUGGGCUGAAUACCAUGCUGAUUGUGAGAACAUCAGAGCAGCAGUCGGUCACAAUCAGAGAUACACCAGAGUGGGAAGCAAGAUUUGUUUUCCUUGGUGAACCCCUAUUCAGGGCUGCUCGAGUCCCCAUUGCACCUCCUUUUUGCAGAAAUGGCCAUUGGAUGUUAAUCAGCUGUAAAGAAGAGAGCAGAAAGCCAAGGGAAUCUAUAAAAGAGCUUUGCCCUGUAAGCACAGUUGCCUCACCUCUGACCUCCAUAACUGAGAAAGGAUCUGGCUUUGACAAUAUUGUGUGUGAAGUUAGCAGCUUGAAUCACUGCCGUGAGCAAACGCAUUUUCUCUACUGAGAAUGAAUUCUUCUGAACUGCUGAACAAAGAUCUGUGCUCCUGCAUGGUUAUUAUUUAUUUGGAAGAUUGCUAGAGACUCUGAGAAACAUCCCCUGCUCCCCUCCUUGUUUCUGGAAGCUGCAAGCUGUGAAAUUUAGCCUCUGCUCCAUAGGAACAAAACACGUGGAAAGGAGAAACUGGCCAGGCAAGUGGUAUGAAAUGUGAAAACUGCCUACAGAGAUAACGUCAGUCACAAAACAAGGAUGGAAUAAAGAAGGAAGGCCUUAUUUAUUGUCCUGCUUAGUGGCUUGGAGAUGGUGCACAUGACUAAAUUAUUGAUUUUGGAUUGCACCUUUCAGAGAGUGGUGUUUGGGGGCAGGCAAGGCAGAGGGGCUGGACUCUACUAAUUUUGAAGUCUUCUCUGAGUCAGGUGCAGUGAAAUUACUGAAUAGCUGCCAUUGGGUCAUAUUUAGAAGUCUGCACUUCUCUGCCAUUAAUAGCAUGGAGAUUUUUUCAUUAAGCUGUUAAAACUUGUAUCAUUGGGAAUACUGAUGUUCCACUAUCACUACUGCUAAUUCUACUAUCAUCACUACUCAGAUUGAAGUCUUGAUGAAUUUGCCUUAUGGGAAAAUAUAUUCCCACAGGAUAAGUUGGCUGGAAAUAGGGCUCUAUCAAUUCACCCAGACCCAAAGAAACUAUUUAAGUAUUAUUACAAUUGCACAAGUCAUCCCCAGGCCCUGCCUGAUCCCACAGCGCUACAGAAACAGCAUCGCAUGUGGGGAACUCUUUCAUUCUGUCCAUUCACAUCCUAUUCCACUGAGUGCCCUGUGGCUCCUAACUGUCCCAAAUGAAAUACCCACAGGCUGCUGAUUGCCAAACACUGAAAAUGGAAUCAUUUUGAAGGACAAAAACCAAAUUGUUACGUACUUUAACAAUGUACUAUAGUGAACUUAUUUAUUUUGGUAAGCACAUCUCUGGCUCUUAGAAAACACUCAAUAAGUAUUUGUCAAAAAAACUAAAAGCUUCCAUGUGGAAUGAAUGUCAGCACUGCAGCCAGACAUUGUGGAAGCAGCUGCUGUCCCCAUGCCGUCAUUCACUGUUCUCUCCGUGGCUCUUUCCCUACAUGACAGCUCCUGUCGUGUCGUCCCCUCUGCCCGAGCUUGCUAUGACAGCCAGGGUUCAGGGCCUGCUUCAGCUCCCGCCACAUCCUCCCACCACGUCCUCAAGGACACAGGCUCUGCCCCCCGCCCCUCCCUCCCCUCUGGAGCUGUUACUAGAGGCAGGAGUGUGAGAUGGGGAGACAGGACACCCAAGGUUGUCCUCCAGCUCCAGAGUUCUGAUUGCUCAUGUACCACAGGAGGCCUUCUGGACCUCUUCCCCUUUUGUAUCUCCUCCAUAUGUCAUGUUUAAGGUGGCAGCAGCUACUUCUACAUAGGGGACCCAUAGACAGUCCCAGAGAACAGUAUAGAACAGUUUUCCAGGGAAAAUACAAAAUCUCCAAGAAAAAUAAAUAAAAAGAACAAAUCCCAUUGGUUAUUGAAAAAACCCACAGAAUUAAGGGCAUUAGGCCAUAUCUAUCAGAAAGAUAAAAAAUGAAAGGGAAGAGGGAAGGCACAGGGUAAUGUGAAUUCGUAGAACCCACUGGGGGACAAUUAUAAUAUGUUUAAACUCUUUAAGAGAAGAUACUGCUAAUCCAGGAAUUUUAUGUCUAGGAAUUUUCUCCAAAGAACAAAGAAGUCAGACAAGGUGUAUAUAUCUGGAUAUUCAAUAAAGCAAUACUUACAAUAGCAAAACACCCAGGAGUUUGUUUAAAAUUUUUAUUAU
Long non-coding RNA from Fukomys damarensis (Damara mole-rat), 2353 nucleotides. RefSeq lists it as uncharacterized. The record is from RefSeq and is a predicted model, not a curated record. Lineage: Eukaryota; Metazoa; Chordata; Mammalia; Rodentia; Bathyergidae. The transcript is spliced from 3 exons.